Molecule: transfer RNA, 63 nt
Filed under: Haloa japonica
Lineage: Eukaryota; Metazoa; Mollusca; Gastropoda; Cephalaspidea; Haminoeidae
Description: tRNA-Met
Source: RNAcentral
CAGUGGAUCAGCUAAGUUUAAGCUAUUGGGCUCAUAACCCAACAAUGGUUCAUCCUCCUCUGA